Molecule: ribosomal RNA, 216 nt
Filed under: uncultured bacterium
Lineage: Bacteria
Description: partial 16S ribosomal RNA
Rfam family: Bacterial small subunit ribosomal RNA
Source: RNAcentral
AUCCCAGUUCGGAUUGCAGGCUGNAACCCGCCUGUAUGAAGUUGGAAUCGCUAGUAAUCGCGGAUCAGCAUGCCGCGGUGAAUACGUUCCCGGGCCUUGUACACACCGCCCGUCACACCAUGAGAGUCGGGAACACCCGAAGUCCGUAGCCUAACCGCAAGGAGGGCGCGGCCGAAGGUGGGUUCGAUAAUUGGGGUGAAGUCGUAACAAGGUACC